Molecule: long non-coding RNA, 4579 nt
Filed under: Fragaria vesca (wild strawberry)
Lineage: Eukaryota; Viridiplantae; Streptophyta; Magnoliopsida; Rosales; Rosaceae
Description: long non-coding RNA (FVES_LNC002208)
Source: RNAcentral
CUGCAAGAGUGCUUAAGAAAUAGGCUAUUCAAGGCUGACUGGUUACAAUUGCUAGUGGACAGCUUGCAAAAAAGUAGUUGAUUUUGUCCAUUAACACAUGCUAUAAAAGCUGUAUAAGCUUGUACAUAGUUAUGAGGUUGUUCAAAAAGUUUCUUUGCUGAUGAUUUCCAUUGAUGACUUGCUGGUCCAGUUUUGGUGCUUUCCUAUCAUUUUGGAAGAAAGAUAUAGUUAAAUAUUCCAAUAUGCAAAAUCUCUAAACUUUUAUGUAAGCAAAUGUAUUGUAUAUGUGCAGAUCAUCAAUCUAUAAUGCAAAGCGUGCAAUGACAUUUAAUAUGCAGUAUAUGAAUAUAUAGUUUAGCUUAUGCUACAAACAUCAAAUAGCCAAAAAAAAAAAAAACAAUGAUGUGUAUACAUCAGUAUGAAUAAGAUCAGAACUCAAAACAAAACAACAUAAAAUGCAGAAUUUUUGAACUCAUUACUGCUAAUGGUGGUUAACUGAAAUCAAUAUGGCAACACUGAAUACAUAAAACACAAGAUUUCAAUUUAGCAAGUCAGUAUGGCUAUAUGGUACACAUAAAAAGCUGGAUUUCAAAUGAGCAGAAUUUACAGAUAUGAUCCCUAAGAAACAUGAGGGAAGUCCAGUAGCACUGUGUAACAACAACUCAAAACAGAUUUUGAGUUGCCAGCAAUAUGCCUAUUCUUUUUUCUUUUUUUUCUUUUUGAAGGAAAAUAAUAUACCUAUUACACUUGCACUUCUUAAUGGACCAUUAAAAGUUCAACUUUCAGUUUCUGGCAGCUUACUCAAGGUACACGAUGUAAUAAUAAAUAGUAAUAAAUAGUAAAAUGGAAGUAUUCUGGUAUAAUUUCUACUUGUCAUCCAUAUCUAUCAUAAAAACAAAGAUCAUACGAUGAUGAUGUAUAGAGUUUCUAUCUUGUAAGAAUUGGUACCGCACUCUGGUUUAUUUUGUAGUAAAUCAAAAUGAAAAUAUAAACUUUAUGUUGUUCAGGUUUAUUCUUUUGCAUUUGUAUUACCAUCUUUUCUAGUACUUAAAUCCUCUUAAUCUAAUGGAUUUACCCUAUAAAACCCCUUAUGAUCCACUGCUCUGCCCCCCAGCCCCCGCCCCCCCCCCCCUCCUUAUAUAAUCAAUAAUAUUUUAAUGUCCAGAACUAUUUCAUCUGCUCACACCACAUGGAUUCUAAACUAUAUCAACCCCAAGUAAUCCUCUCACUGAAUUAUAGCUCUCUACAAAAUAAUAAUAAAACAUGAAAAGGAAAUUCAAUAUACAUAAUAAGGAAAACAUGAUACUUCGAACUGCAUAAAAAAAAAAAAGAAGAUAAGUACCCAUAUUAAAUGACUCUGAAGGGGUGGAUCAGCAGCUGUAGAAAUCCCCAAAAUCAGCUUAUUGCCAAAAACGUAAACUGAGAGAAGGAAUCAAAGACAAAGACGAAGAGAGAAGAAACCUGAGAGAGAAAGAGAGAACGUCUCUUUUUGGAGGGUCGUCUCUCGUCGUGGAGAGAGAACACAGAGCCACGUAGCAGAAGACUUACAGCUGUCGGCGUUAUCAGCUCACGGCAGCACUGGUAGAUUCUGUAAUUGAGUUAGGGGCAAAACCAGCGUUCGCUAGAGUUUGACUUCAGGAGGUUGCGAGAGGGAAGGCAAGCGGUUGCGAGAGAGAGGAGCUGGUCUCGAAGCUUCUAAGAGGUGGCCGAAGAGAAAAAUUGGGCUACUUUCAACAAACAACAGACUGGAUGGGAAUCUUGAGAUCACAGCGAAAUCUUCAGAUCGGUUUUGAAGCUUCUAAGAGAUGGCUGAAGAGAAAAAAUGAGGCGCAAGAUGAAGAACGAAGCAGGUCCAUUGAGGCCCAAAACUGUUCCGUAUUAACAGUUGCUUGAACAGUAUUUUAAACAAUAAAACAGUGCAACGAAAAAUAGUAUAAUGUUAAUGUUAAAUGCCUCCAUGUGAGACAUAUAAUCUAUGUAACAUUGUUUCAAUAAAGAGCCCAGCAUCUUGUUCAGCGAUCACUAGGCCUCACUGUGAGUCUUACAAUCAAAACCGAGACAAAAGAUACCGAUCUGAAACAAAACAAAACAAAAAACCCACAAUCAUAAUCAAAAGAACGAAAUCAUUGUGGCAACUCAUGAAAUUCAUCAGAAAAAUUUUGGGUUGCUGGAAAAAUAUGUCUGGCUAUGAGCAUGAUAAUACAAUUCGACAUAAGAAUGCAACACCAAUCAGAUACACAGUUUCAAAGCAUCAUCGGAACACUUCACAUGACUAUACACCGCAUCCCAUAAAUACACAGUUUUAGGGCUGUAAAUCUCACCUCUAACUUCCUCCUAAGUAACUCCACUUCCUCAAUCUUCUCAUGUAUCUUACUUUCAUAGUUCGAUAUAGCCUUUUCAUAGGCAGCAUUUUCCUCCUGCAAUGUCACCUCUCUCAACUGGGCCUGUCCACAAUUCCAAACAGGAUCAAUGAAACUCAAUCAGUACCAAAAAACAGGUGAGUUCUGGAAUACUCCGGAGCAUCCAUGCUCCGCGUUUGUCUUGGUUACGUGUCGAUCCUCCAUUAGGUUGUGUAUUUCGUCCGUGUUAGUCUCCUUGAGCACGUGAGUUGCAUAACUCAGUAAGUAUUUCAUCCGCAAUCAAGAGAGGGCAGACAAGUUGGAUGUGGAAGAUCGAUCUAUCUCCCUCUCCUUGAUCUGAUCGGCUUGCUUAAGAGCGGCCGUUUUGAUAUCGUUGGCUAUCUUGGAGGGCAUCGGCGGCGAACUCGCGGGAUCGCUUGAGAUUUUGGCGGCGAACUGGUGAUGGUCUGAUUUCUUGGCUGCUUCUUUGGCGAAGCUAUUGGGUCGUUUCCACAGAUCUUCCAUUGUUUGUCUCUUCAAUUGCAGGACUGAGGGAGAGAAAGAUAACGUGUUGGUGGGUUUGGUAGUGGUGGGUGUGUGCUUUGUGUUGGUGGUGGUUGUUAUUUCCUUCUCUCUCUUUUUUCUUUUUUGUCUGCUUGGAAUCAAAAUCUAGAGAUGGGAAUGACUCCAUGUUGUGACAAGAAUGGGCUGAAGAGAGGUACGUCCAUGGACUCCUGAUGAGGAUGAGAUUCUUGUCAAUUACAUCAACACAAAUAAGGGACAUGGCAGCUGGAUAAUCUCUUCCACAGCAUGCAGGUUUUGUGUGUAAUGCUAGCUACAUGUUCUAUCUGGGUUUUGGUCCAUUGUUAAGGAAUAAGACUUAUCAAAACCGGAUCCAACCCAGAAAACGAAGAAAGAUGACAAAUGGAGGAGAGAUACCCAGACCGAAACUGUGUUUCGCACUACCCAAGUCCUUAGAUCUGAGGAAUAAAACUUAUCAAAAGAAAAAACAAUUAAAACUAAUACCCACGCACCACGCGCCUAGCAAUGGCGUGCUUGCAAUCGACUGGUUAACCGGUUUAUUCACUUUUUACUUCUGUCAGAAAACAAACGCGAAACACGGACGCUCCGGAGCAUUCCAGACGUCUCCCCAAAAACAACCCAAAAUCCCAAACCUUUAACUACAACCACAUCCCCAAACUAACAAAAAUCCAAUCUUUCAAUAACACACGCAACAAUUCCAAUCAGAACCAAAGACCUAGAUAAGAAAGAUCCAAACUUCAACCAAAUAAAGCAACAAUUGUUACAAUUUACAACCAAUUUCAAGAACCCAGAUAGAAAAUUAAGGGCAAUAAAUUUAGUGGAGGGGUGGAUCAGCAGCUGUAGAAAUCCCCAAAAUCAGCUUAUUGCCAAAAACAUAAACUGAGAGAAGGAAUCAAAGACAAAGACGAAGAGAGAAGAAACCUGAGAGAGAAAGAGAUGAAAGAGAGAACAUCUCUUUUUGGAGGAUCGUCUCUCGUCGUGGAGAGAGAACACGGAGCCACGCAACAGAAGACUUACAGCUGUCGACGUUAUCAGCUCAUGGCAGCACUGGUAGAUUCUGUAAUUGAGUCAAGGGCAAAACCUGCGUUUGCUAGAGUUUGAGGUUACGAGAGAGAAGGCAAGAGGUUGCGAUAGAGAGGAGCUGGUCUCGAAGCUUCUAAGAGGUGGCCGAAGAGAAAAAUUGGGCUACUUUCAACAAACAACAGACUGGAUGGGAAUCUUGAGAUCACAGCGAAAUCUUCAGAUCGGUCUUGAAGCUUUUAAGAGAUGGCUGAAGAGAAAAAAUUAAUGAGGCGCAAGAUGAAGAACGAAGCAGUUCCAUUGAGUUCCAAAACUGUUCUGUAUGAACAGUUGCUUGAACAGUAUUUUAAACAGUAAAACAGUGCGACGAAAAAUAGUAUAAUGAGGAAAAUUUUCAAAUGGUGCCUCAAGUUAAGUCCAUUCAUCAUUUUGACACCCCAAUAUUGAAAACUAUGAUACUGGUACCUCAACACUUAAACUCAACUCAACAUUAGUUCCCUCCGUGAUUGACACCGUUAAGUUGGAUUUUGUCCAUGGGCAAAAUUGUCUCUUCAUGUUUUCCUUCCACAAACCUUAUAAGUUGAAUUAGAGUUUCUCGACCUGAAGAUAUCAACUAUGAAUGUGAGUCCUAUUACCUAGUUAUCUAUAUAUGUUUCAUGAACUUCUGUACUUGAUAC